GCCUCUAUAGCUCAGUGGUAGAGCGCUUGACUUGUACCUAAUAGAUAUCAAGAGGUCCGUGGUUCAAUCCCGCGUGGAGGCA
Molecule: transfer RNA, 82 nt
Filed under: Aspergillus tamarii
Lineage: Eukaryota; Fungi; Ascomycota; Eurotiomycetes; Eurotiales; Aspergillaceae
Rfam family: tRNA
About the family: Transfer RNA (tRNA) molecules are approximately 80 nucleotides in length.
Source: Rfam by way of RNAcentral